Long non-coding RNA from Phragmites australis (common reed), 1601 nucleotides. RefSeq lists it as uncharacterized. The transcript is spliced from 5 exons. Lineage: Eukaryota; Viridiplantae; Streptophyta; Magnoliopsida; Poales; Poaceae. The record is from RefSeq and is a predicted model, not a curated record.
GGCGCAUGAGCAAUCUCGCAGCGCUUACGAGCAUUUUCGGGCCCAGUUCGACAGGCUACGUUCGGACGACGUGGUAUGAGAGCCUUACAACAUCUUGGCCGUGCAAGGGCGUGCAGGUUUGGGUUUGUCACCGUUGUGUACCUACGACGAGGAUUACUGGCUCACGAAGGCACCGCUUGUCUUCGACAUCUACGUCGAAGAAUACUCACCGCACUGCGUCAUGCGACAGUUUGGUCGUCACCAUGCAUUCCCUCUCGUCCACAUUCGUACCGUCCCCGUGCACGUCCACAGGUACACACGCAAAGGCCAGCCGGCUGGCAACCUCUGGGCAGAUUGCUUGGCCCCUUACGUGGCAGCAUGGUCCCAAGCGCUACAGGAUGUCGUGGAGGAGACCCAUCCCUACAACGACCGGAGCUUCAACGAGUACCUACAGUGGUACGUUCCACGUACACGCACAUGGGUCACCUACACCCCUGAGGAUGUCCGACCCCACAUCGCGUCGACAACGGAGGCAUACCCGAUGCAUUGGGACGAGGACGCUGCAUUAGCGGUAGAUAUCAUUUAUGAUGUACAUAAGGAUACAGCUGGUGCCAUGGACCACCUCCGGCAAGGGUAGCACCUCAGUGCGUCGGAUGUUGCGGGCCUCAUCAAGCGGGUUUUCGACAAGACCGUGCGCACCUUAAAGCUUACCUCCUGCCGAUCCACCACAGAUGUAGCAGGGGCGCCUCUCAGGUCUAGUGGUGUUCACGCCGAGUCGUCUUGGCGGUCAGAUGUGCACCGCCGUUCAUCGGUGUCGGCACCCACACGACCCCUUUUACCACGUCAUGCAGGCUCGGAGCAAAUAGGUGCUCCGACAUUCAACAAUAUUCGUUACUUACUACUGCAUUGAUUAUUAAACUUUCAUUAGGUGCACUUACACAAGCCUCGACGUAGCCUCGUAGACCAAGCCCUGUGCGUCCACCCUCAGGUUACUUCGGUGAUGAGGUCGGUCCGUCUUCAGCGGCCCCACGCUCGACCCCACCAGCAUCGUUCGAGCCAUACUACGGCACGACAAUCUGGCCUUCUUCUGCUGCACCGGCAUACCACGCCCCUCCAGCCAGUACACAUGGACGUCAGGAGAGCCUUCACAGUCCUCCUACCCUAGUAAGGAGGAUGAGGCUGGCCUAGACGCCGCAUACGAUCUCGUUCAUGACUUCUUCGGGGGCACACCUGACUACGACGUCCUCCAGCGGUCCCAGGUACCCAGUGCUCCCCUUCGGACACAGCCCACGCAGGACGAGGCCUCGACACCGGUGCUCCCUGCUAGGCCUACCAGACAGGUCGGUCCACCCGACCCCCUCACCUACUCCAGGGGCCACGUGAGGGUUAACCAGCGGCAUCGGGACUACGAUGGGGAGCACGGGCUACGGCAACGGGGGAGGCAUCAGUAGAAUUUUAGAUUUUUUGUAACUUACAUAUGCAUAUUCGUUUCGCGAUGUACUCCUACGUAUUCAGACACGUUUACUCUUUAUGGUCCACUUAGCAUGUCGUAACUGCAUUUUGUAUUCCAAAACGAUGGUAUCGUAGUUGUUUUUCUUAAUCCGACACGACCACAUGCUAUA